ACUGUCUACUGUCAGCUUUUCCCAUUCUCUGAACAGGCAUUCUGUCUUUCAGCUGAAUGACUUUAGCUCUCUAGCUAGAGGUUUGGAGCCUGACAGUUUACUAUCUAGCACAGGACAGAUGCAUGUGUCCGAUCUUUGUGCAUCUCUUAACUUAUCUUUUGGUAUAGGACUGACUGAUGGAGUGGUUAUCUCACCUUCAGUGGAGACUGUCAUACAUUUGGCUGGAAAUGCCAGGGUCGCUUCUUGAACCUCAACGGCCUGAAUGGUGGUAGCUAUGGCGUCAGGUGGCAACUCCUCAGAACAUUCUCUCAUCAGUGACUCUGCAUCCAGUGGCAUCCUUGACAAAGCAUCUGCGUCACUGAUCUCUUUACCUGGUCUGUACUUUAUUGUGAAGUGAAAAUCAGCCAGAUCUGCAACAAACCUGGAAGUGUUUGCAUUCAGUUUUGCAGUGGACAGAACAUACGUGAAUGGGUUGUUAUCACUAUACACAAUCCUGGAACUUUGUCAGUGACUGCCCAUUUUAAAGCUAGAAAUUCUCACUUGCCUGCAUGGUAGUGGUAGUUCUUCUCCGCUUGCUCUCAAUGAGUGGGAGCCAUAGGCAAUGACUCUCAGUUUGCCAUCUUGUUUUGGAUACAAUACUGCUCGCAAGCCUUGAUGUGAUGCGUCAGUGUGUACUAUGAACGGCUGAGUGAAAUCAGGGAACCCUAACACUGGUGGAUGGAGCAAACAGUCAAUCAGCUGUUCAAGUGCCUGCUGGUGCUGGUCGGUCCAAGUGAUUGGCUUGUCUGAGGGCACAACAUGAGUCAUUUUCUUUGCUUUUGGUUUUCUUGUGUUUUCAGGGACCUCAGUUGAAUCUGCUUUCAAGAGAUUGUGCUGGCAGCUUGCCUUUCUGGAAAAGUCUUUAAUCUACUGCCUGUAGUAGCAAACCAGUGACUACAUUUCCCAAACUGCACGGCAGCCUACAAACAUGGCCACCAUGGACUGCAAUUCCCAGAACACUCUCUCUCACACACAGAACACUCACACUCAUUCUAAUCACACACAACUUAAUUCAAUCUCACACACUGUUGUGUCAAAUUUGAUCCAUUACCUGAAUGUAAUUAUAAUUAAAAUACAGCAUAGAAACAGAUACUCACAUCUACCAGACUGUUGCAUGAAGAAAGCAAAACACCGAACCAGUGAGUGAGAAGAAGCAAGGAUCCAAGUUUAUUGUUCCAAUUCACAUGAGAUCCACACAGUUGAGACGUCCCAAGGGUGAUCUGAAAACCCAGAGCUGAGGCUCUCCUAUUUAUACAGCUUCCCCAGGGUCGGAUUUUCCCACCCUCAGCAAU
Ictalurus punctatus (channel catfish) is the source of this 1331-nucleotide long non-coding RNA. The record is from Ensembl. NCBI's taxonomy places the organism in Eukaryota, Metazoa, Chordata, Actinopteri, Siluriformes, Ictaluridae.